Molecule: ribosomal RNA, 497 nt
Filed under: uncultured bacterium
Lineage: Bacteria
Description: partial 16S ribosomal RNA
Rfam family: Bacterial small subunit ribosomal RNA
Source: RNAcentral
GAUGAACGCUGGCGGCGUGCCUAAUACAUGCAAGUCGAGCGAACAGACGAGGAGCUUGCUCCUCUGACGUUAGCGGCGGACGGGUGAGUAACACGUGGAUAACCUACCUAUAAGACUGGGAUAACUUCGGGAAACCGGAGCUAAUACCGGAUCAUAUAUUGAACCGCAUGGUUCAAUAGUGAAAGACGGUUUUGCUGUCACUUAUAGAUGGAUCCGCGCCGCAUUAGCUAGUUGGUAAGGUAACGGCUUACCAAGGCAACGAUGCGUAGCCGACCUGAGAGGGUGAUCGGCCACACUGGAACUGAGACACGGUCCAGACUCCUACGGGAGGCAGCAGUAGGGAAUAUUCCGCAAUGGGCGAAAGCCUGACGGAGCAACGCCGCGUGAGUGAAGAAGGUCUUCGGAUCGUAAAACUCUGUUAUUAGGGAAGAACAAAUGUGGAAGUAACUAUGCACGUCUUGACGGUACCUAAUCAGAAAGCCACGGCUAACUACGUG